This 508-nucleotide unclassified non-coding RNA is filed under the name Hevea brasiliensis (rubber tree). Lineage: Eukaryota; Viridiplantae; Streptophyta; Magnoliopsida; Malpighiales; Euphorbiaceae. The record is from RNAcentral.
AGACUGUUGAAGCAUCAGCCCCCUGACAAAUUGACAGCAAUUUAUCAACUUAAGAAGCCAAUUUAACAGAAGAAACAACAAAGACAGAAUGAUAGAUAUGAUAUAUAUAACAGUACAUGAACAGCCAACAAAAGAAGAGCAACCACAUAUACGAUAAUGAAUAAAGAGGAGAAAGAAGAAAUCCAUAAUAAAAAAAUUUUAAGAACCAAGUAAUAAUUCUUUACCCUGAACUGCAUAUUUAUUUUCUUCAUUCAGAAUUUGUAAUAAGCCUAACCAGUAGCAGGCAGCCCAAAAUUCAAGUGGAACGGAAUACAAAAUCAACAAUGCGUUAGAUAUGCAUUUAUAAGCAAGUCCUUGCGAGGUGUGGGCCACAUGAUAAAGAAGUCAAGAGCAAUAAAGGUGGCAGCAACUAAUUUCGGCAACAAGCAGGACAGCAGGGAUAGCAGCUAAUUUACAGCAAUCUUCUUAAAUUGCAGAGCUAUUCUUAGAAGUCUCUUUAUUUUAUUUU